Long non-coding RNA from Pan troglodytes (chimpanzee), 1369 nucleotides. RefSeq lists it as uncharacterized. The transcript has 6 exons. Lineage: Eukaryota; Metazoa; Chordata; Mammalia; Primates; Hominidae. The record is from RefSeq and is a predicted model, not a curated record.
CCUGGGGCCCCCUCACCCGCGUCCCCCGCGGCGGGGAAGGCGCCGGCGUGGCCGUGGAUGGUGGCCAACACCUGCGCCCUGCGCUCCUCAGGUGCAGGCCCUGGAAGACGAGGGAGGAGCCUGUGAGCCACCGGCCCACGUGAAAGUAAAUGCAUGAAGUUCCCUCUCACUGAACUGAAAAGAGCCUCAACCUGGACCUGACACCAACUUCGCCGGUGCUGCCUGGCUGGUUGCUCUAGCGCCCUGAAGGAGAGGAAUGCAGUCAUAUUUCACUGUGAUUUUCAGUGUCAUUUCCACGAAGACUAAUGAUGUUGAGCUUUUUUUUCUCCAUAAUACAGAUGGAGUCUCCAUCUGUUGCCCAGGCUGGAGUGCAGUGGUGCGAUCUCGGCUCACUGCAACCUCCGCCACCUGGGUUCAAGUGAUUUUCCUGCCUCAGCCUCCGGAGCAGCUGGGAUUACAGGCACGCGUCACCACACCUGGCUAAUUUUUGUAUUUUUCGUAGAGACAGAGUUUCACCAUGUUGGCCAGGCUGGUCUCCAAAUCCUGACCUCAGAUGAUCCACCCACCUGGGACUCCCAAAGUGCUGGGAUGACAGACAGGCGUGAGCCACUGCACCCGGCCAAUAAUGGUUAUUUCUAGCUAGAUACUACUGUCACGUUUCAAGAUGGCUCACUUAAACCUGUACUUCUGGCAGGAAAGAGACCCAAACCCAUGAAGAAUGAGAUACGUGUACAGUUUUGAUUAUAAAACCAAAGAAUAAUGGCUUCACAAGAUGACGGCUGGGCUCCUGGGCUGCCUUCAGUGUCUUUAAACAGAGGAAGCUUCGGGAUGUGUGAAGGCAGACCCGACUUCAGGACCUCAUUCAGAGCGAGAGCCUGGGAACACUGGUGUGAGGCAGCACCGUGCCCUUGCCGUGCACCCAGGGGGUUUUGUGAGACGAGAGAUAGAGUCUUGCUAUGUUGUCCAGGCUGGCACUGAACUCUUGGGCUCCAACGAUCCUCCUGCCCCGGCCUCCUGAGUAGCUGGGAUUAUAGGCACAAGUCACCAUGCCCAGCCGGAAUAAUCUGAAGGAAAGAUGGGUAUAUUCAAGAUGACUUUGCUGCUGGAAAUAUGACAGAAUAAUGUGGUAUCUUCCUCUGCACUUCCAAGCUCUUUCACACUCAGGCUCCUCCUGGCUUUUCUGCCUCAGACACCAUAAACUGUGGUUGCUUCUCCAGCUCUGUUACAGUUCAGACUUGAGGGGAGGUGACAAGAGCUAACAUGUUACCAUGGGGAGCCUGGCUGACAUCUCCGAAACUGAAGACUCUAUGGAAGCCUCAUGCUAUUGCAAUGUGUACAUCAAAAGUAAAGUACCCCAGGUUAAAACUAU